AAUCAUGAAAGAGUAACGUUGAAGACAAGUAAAGUUUUUCAAAUGGAUUUCCUAAUUGAGAAAGAGACGUUAAUCUCCAAUCUCAAUAAAGAAAAUACUACUUGUGGUAAGUAGUCAUUUCAAGAAGAAAAAGUCAUCCUGCAUCAGCUAAUUAUGUGAUGGCGUAACUUCAUCUCAAUAUCCACCAGUUUCAACUACUACUUCAACUGAUCUAUAUAAAGGAUUGCAAAU
RNAcentral lists this long non-coding RNA (231 nucleotides) under Lathyrus oleraceus (garden pea). RNAcentral describes it as "Pisum sativum (pea) long non-coding RNA (PSAT_LNC036382)". The record is from RNAcentral. Lineage: Eukaryota; Viridiplantae; Streptophyta; Magnoliopsida; Fabales; Fabaceae.